GACGAACGCUGGCGGCGUGCUUAACACAUGCAAGUCGAACGGAAAGGCCCUGCUUUUGUGGGGUGCUCGAGUGGCGAACGGGUGAGUAACACGUGAGUAACCUGCCCUUGACUUUGGGAUAACUUCAGGAAACUGGGGCUAAUACCGGAUAGGAGCUCCUGCUGCAUGGUGGGGGUUGGAAAGUUUCGGCGGUUGGGGAUGGACUCGCGGCUUAUCAGCUUGUUGGUGGGGUAGUGGCUUACCAAGGCUUUGACGGGUAGCCGGCCUGAGAGGGUGACCGGCGACAUUGGGACUGAGAUACGGCCCAGACUCCUACGGGAGGCAGCAGUGGGGAAUAUGGCACAAUGGGCGGAAGCCUGAUGCAGCAACGCCGCGUGCGGAAUGACGGCCUUCGGGUUGUAAACCGCUUUCGCCUGUGACGAAGCGUGAGUGACGGUAAUGAGUAAGGAAGCACCGGCUAACUACGUG
Molecule: ribosomal RNA, 468 nt
Filed under: uncultured bacterium
Lineage: Bacteria
Description: partial 16S ribosomal RNA
Rfam family: Bacterial small subunit ribosomal RNA
Source: RNAcentral